RNAcentral lists this ribosomal RNA (469 nucleotides) under Punctelia rudecta. RNAcentral describes it as "partial small subunit ribosomal RNA". It matches the Rfam family "Bacterial small subunit ribosomal RNA", at positions 668 to 1098 of the family's 1533-position model. Lineage: Eukaryota; Fungi; Ascomycota; Lecanoromycetes; Lecanorales; Parmeliaceae. The record is from RNAcentral.
CCUCUUUUCGAAAGAAAAAUCAUGGCACAGGUAUAGGCGAAGGCAUCCCCUUAUGUGAUAACNGACGUUGAGGGNNGAAGGCUUUGUGUNACAAACAGGNUUAGAUNCCCUCGUNGUUGAAGCAGAAAAUGAUGAAUGUCANAGAUNAGAUAUAUAAGUUUWUUCUAUAAAUGNAAGUGUAAGCAUUCCACCUCNNGNGUNAUUUGGCANCAUUGGAAUUGAAAUCAUUAGACCGUUUCUGAAACCAGUNGNGAAGUAUGUUGUUUAAUUUGAUGAUCCGCAAAAAACCUUACCCCAAUUUGAAAAUUUAUAUUUUUUUUAUNGUUUUCUUCUUAAUUUUCUUCUAAUAACAUAUUCACCAUGUCAAAAGAAGAAAGUUAAUAAAGAGGCAAUAAUAUAUAUUUACAANCGUUGCACGGCGGUCUUCAGUUAAUGUCGCGAGACUUUGGUUAGUUCCAUUAAAUUAANG